RNAcentral lists this ribosomal RNA (1447 nucleotides) under uncultured organism. Its description in RNAcentral is "SSU rRNA". It matches the Rfam family "Bacterial small subunit ribosomal RNA". The record is from RNAcentral.
CUCAGAUUGAACGCUGGCGGCAGGCCUAACACAUGCAAGUCGAACGGUAACAGGAAGCAGCUUGCUGCUUUGCUGACGAGUGGCGGACGGGUGAGUAAUGUCUGGGAAACUGCCCGAUGGAGGGGGAUAACUACUGGAAACGGUAGCUAAUACCGCAUAACGUCGCAAGACCAAAGAGGGGGACCUUAGGGCCUCUUGCCAUCGGAUGUGCCCAGAUGGGAUUAGCUAGUAGGUGGGGUAAUGGCUCACCUAGGCGACGAUCCCUAGCUGGUCUGAGAGGAUGACCAGCCACACUGGAACUGAGACACGGUCCAGACUCCUACGGGAGGCAGCAGUGGGGAAUAUCGCACAAUGGGCGCAAGCCUGAUGCAGCCAUGCCGCGUGUAUGAAGAAGGCCUUCGGGUUGUAAAGUACUUUCAGCGGGGAGGAAGGGAGUAAAGUUAAUACCUUUGCUCAUUGACGUUACCCGCAGAAGAAGCACCGGCUAACUCCGUGCCAGCAGCCGCGGUAAUACGGAGGGUGCAAGCGUUAAUCGGAAUUACUGGGCGUAAAGCGCACGCAGGCGGUUUGUUAAGUCAGAUGUGAAAUCCCCGGGCUCAACCUGGGAACUGCAUCUGAUACUGGCAAGCUUGAGUCUCGUAGAGGGGGGUAGAAUUCCAGGUGUAGCGGUGAAAUGCGUAGAGAUCUGGAGGAAUACCGGUGGCGAAGGCGGCCCCCUGGACGAAGACUGACGCUCAGGUGCGAAAGCGUGGGGAGCAAACAGGAUUAGAUACCCUGGUAGUCCACGCCGUAAACGAUGUCGACUUGGAGGUUGUGCCCUUGAGGCGUGGCUUCCGGAGCUAACGCGUUAAGUCGACCGCCUGGGGGGGUUACGGCCGCAAGGUUAAAACUCAAAUGAAUUGACGGGGGCCCGCACAAGCGGUGGAGCAUGUGGUUUAUUUCGAUGCAACGCGAAGAACCUUACCUGGUCUUGACAUCCACGGAAGUUUUCAGAGAUGAGAAUGUGCCUUCGGGAACCGUGAGACAGGUGCUGCAUGGCUGUCGUCAGCUCGUGUUGUGAAAUGUUGGGUUAAGUCCCGCAACGAGCGCAACCCUUAUCCUUUGUUGCCAGCGGUCCGGCCGGGAACUCAAAGGAGACUGCCAGUGAUAAACUGGAGGAAGGUGGGGAUGACGUCAAGUCAUCAUGGCCCUUACGACCAGGGCUACACACGUGCUACAAUGGCGCAUACAAAGAGAAGCGACCUCGCGAGAGCAAGCGGACCUCAUAAAGUGCGUCGUAGUCCGGAUUGGAGUCUGCAACUCGACUCCAUGAAGUCGGAAUCGCUAGUAAUCGUGGAUCAGAAUGCCACGGUGAAUACGUUCCCGGGCCUUGUACACACCGCCCGUCACACCAUGGGAGUGGGUUGCAAAAGAAGUAAAUAGCUUAACCUUCGGGAGGGCGCUUACC